This is a long non-coding RNA of Hibiscus syriacus, 147 nucleotides long. RefSeq lists it as uncharacterized. Lineage: Eukaryota; Viridiplantae; Streptophyta; Magnoliopsida; Malvales; Malvaceae. The record is from RefSeq and is a predicted model, not a curated record. The transcript has 3 exons.
AAUCAAAUCUUUGAUUCCAUGGAGCUGCUGGAUACUGGGUUCUGGGCUUACUGCUUUUUUCACCCCCGAAUGAGUUAAAUGACAAGUGUGUUCGGCUCUGACUGGUCAUAUUCCAUCCAGAUAAGACAUUCAUUGCCUGAUCCUGUC